CGCAUUGUUGGUUUUGAAGUCAAUCCAAUCAGUAUUAACCAUGAGUACAAGAAUUGGGAUGAGAACAACACUCGGUUGACAACAUGCAAUUCCCAAAUUCAGGAUAAUGCUGUUACAGAACAGAUAGCUAUUGGUGAAGAGAUUGUGUUUACAUAUGAUGUCUCCUUUGAGUCCAGCGAAAUCAAAUGGGCUUCGCGCUGGGACACGUACCUUCUUAUGAACGACAGUCAGAUUCAUUGGUUCUCCAUUAUUAACUCUUUAAUUAUUGUUCUGUUUCUUUCGGGCAUGGUUGCCAUGAUUAUGAUGAGAACACUCUACAAGGACAUUACAAGCUACAAUCAGCUGGAUACCCAAGAUGAGGCCUUGGAAGAAACAGGCUGGAAAUUAGUUCAUGGGGAUGUUUUCCGUCCGCCUCCUAAUUCCAGUUUAUUGUGUGUGUAUGCUGGGACAGGCAUCCAAGUUUUGGGAAUGACUCUUGUCGCAAUGAUUUUUGCAUUGUUGGGUUUCCUCUCACCGGCCAACCGUGGUGGCCUGAUGACAGCCAUGGUCCUUUUAUGGGUUUUCAUGGGCUUAUUUGCAGGAUACUCGUCAGCUCGUUUGUACAAGAUGUUCAAAGGCACACAGUGGAAGAGGGUCACCUUGAAAACAGCCUUCACAUUCCCUGCUAUACUUUUUACCAUUUACUUUGUACUGAAUGCACUAAUUUGGGGUGAGAAAUCUUCUGGAGCAGUUCCUUUUGGAACAAUGUUUGCUCUGGUGUUCUUGUGGUUUGGGAUAUCAGUGCCAUUGGUUUUCAUUGGCAGUUUUGUGGGUUUCAGAAAGCCAGCAAUUGAAGAUCCUGUCAAAACUAAAAAAAUCCCAAGGCAGAUUCCUUUGCAGACAUGGUAUACAAAACCAAUAUUCUGCAUUCUUAUUGGAGGCAUACUUCCAUUUGGAGCAGUGUUCAUUGAGCUAUUCUUCAUGUUGACAUCUAUAUGGCUAAACCAGUUCUAUUACAUGUUCGGUU
Molecule: unclassified non-coding RNA, 1006 nt
Filed under: Hevea brasiliensis (rubber tree)
Lineage: Eukaryota; Viridiplantae; Streptophyta; Magnoliopsida; Malpighiales; Euphorbiaceae
Source: RNAcentral